AUGUGGGCUCUUUUCCACGCGGACAGCACCUGCUGUCCGCCAGCUGAGAGCACCGUGACACUGCUGUUUCUUACAAUGGAUGGACAUAGAAUGGAAGCAAUAAGAGAAGAUGGAGCCACACAUCUAAAUGCGGUCUCCAAGGCUAAGUCCCAGAACUGUGAGAUCGGCUGUCAGACGAUGCCUACCAUGUUAAAGAGCUGCAAGUGGAGGAGUCAGACGCCGUACAGCAUGAGCACUUUCUCCCAGUUCUUCUUGGAUAAUUCAAUAACUGGUCUCACGUCCUGCCUUUGGACCUGGAGGCCAAGCCUGAUUCUGCAGCCAGGUCUGAUGUUGACCAUGAGAAAAGAACACUUCUCCUCACUACUUCCCACUUCCAGUGGAUAA
Molecule: long non-coding RNA, 384 nt
Filed under: Oryctolagus cuniculus (rabbit)
Lineage: Eukaryota; Metazoa; Chordata; Mammalia; Lagomorpha; Leporidae
Description: lncRNA (ENSOCUG00000033402.1)
Source: RNAcentral